UCCUAUACUACCCUGAAUGCACCCAAUCUUGUACAAUUUCAGAAGCAAAGCAGGGUCAGGCCUGGUUAGUACUUGGAUGAGAAUAUUGAGUUUUAUCUUGGGAAAUUCUCUUAAAAGAAGGAA
This 123-nucleotide ribosomal RNA is filed under the name Propithecus coquereli (Coquerel's sifaka). The record is from RNAcentral. Lineage: Eukaryota; Metazoa; Chordata; Mammalia; Primates; Indriidae.